Molecule: long non-coding RNA, 1530 nt
Organism: Pseudoliparis swirei
Lineage: Eukaryota; Metazoa; Chordata; Actinopteri; Perciformes; Liparidae
Exons: 3
Source: RefSeq, a predicted model, not a curated record
GGUGAACAUCGAAAAGUCCUUUAGAAAAUGAAUCCCGCUCCACAGUCGCGCAUCUACACAAUAUUUAGUUCAUAAAAAAGAAAGAGUCGUGUUUAGCUACCAAAAAAAAGUUCGUCGCUGAAUUUGCCGUCGAUUCUCGAUGCGACUAUGUUUUAUGCCGAACUAGUUUCUUCAGAGCGUAAUAUGAUCUUGGUCACGAGUAGUGGCACGGUUCGACACGUGAUCGGUCUACACCAAUGAGGUAGCUGCUUUUUGUCAACAGAAUGGCAAGAUGGCGUCCUCGAGCAGUACGGAAGACGAAGAAAAUACACCGGAAUAUAUUAAUAAAUCAAAAAACAAACAUUGUUUUAUGCAUAUUACUUCAGUCAAGCACGAGGAGGUACAUUAUUUAACCACUACACGAUGGAAUACAUACAGGACAAGCCUACAAACGUGGCUCGGUUUGGACGGUGAGUCCCGGGACGUGGCUGAGAACUUCGAACACUGUGUUGAUGUGGAGUUUGACAAUAUUCCCGAGGAUGCUGGCUUUCAUCACACGUGCUACCGUAGAUUUACGGACAAAAAAUCCAUGGCAAAGGUGGAAAGAAGGAGAAGUUCGUCAACCGAGCAGGCAAACGACAAAGGGAUACUCUGUCAAAGGCUGAAACAUUAACAGCAGGCCAAUUGCAGAAAGCUGCCGAGUUGAAGGAGGACCAAAGUAUUCUUUUGCAUAUAAAAGACAAAGACUGUGUGGCUCUGGAGGUGCAGUACCACAAAGGCUGUUAUAAUCAGUACACCAGGUUUUUGACGAGGCCUGAAAAACCAGAGAAAGACCAGAAUGAGCCCACGUUUGAUGUCAGCGAUAAGAUAUUCUGUGUAAGGAUCAUUCGCCAAAGGCUGCUUGUCAACCAAGAGGUGCUGAGAAUGGGCCAGCUGAGGAAGGCCUUCAUUGAACUGGUGAAAGCACAUGAAGGUCUUGAUGCUUCAAACUACAGGGAACUGCAAUGCAUUUUUCUCUCACGUCUUAUGAUUUGUCAUGUGCAAGUCCAGCUUUACACAACAUGUGUGUGACAGGCCUGAGAAACUGUUUUUAAUUCUUGCUGUUUGCACAAACAUGUACCAGUUGGCAACAAGGAGAAGUGUGUGUGCGUGCGUGAUGUUGUGUGCCUUUCUUGGGCAUCUUUGGUGUUAAAUGUGCUGUAUGGCAGAUAGGUUCUAGCCUGUAAUGUCUUGUACCACCUGCACCACUCUCUGCUUUUCAUGAUACUCCUGUGACUCUUAAUUGUCACUGUUUUGUUGUGUUGCAGACAGGAUAUGUUGAAGGAGAGGCUGGCUCGUGAUUUCCCCCAGCUGGUGUUUCACAUCCCCACCAAGCGCAACAUCUGCGAGCUGGUUUUUGCAGAGACCCUGUCAACCAUUGACAUUACCAAGGUGUCAUCAGCUCUCGGAACCAGUGUGUGUUCAGCCUUGAUCGGAAUUCACACAUUCUCUGGGUGUGACUCCACAAGUGCCUUUUAUGGCAAAGGGAAAAAAAAGACAUUUUCUGUUGCA